AUGCUGUCCGAGGACAAACUCCUUUGUGAGUGUUGGAGGGACAUUGGGCAAGACCCCAAGGUCGGCCCCGAACAAAAGGCAUCAACCUUUUGGCUUCGUGUUCAUCGUGAGUACCAUGAACACAAUAAGUUUGCGAUGUAUCAAAUGCAAAGCAAGCGUGGGUGGGUGUCCCUAUCGAAGUGAUGGAGGGUGAUACAACAAGAGUGCAACAAGUUAUGUGCCACCCUUGAGAGCGUCAAGGCAAGUCCCAUGAGCGGCAUUGGCAUGGAAGAUAUGGUAUACACACUACUAGAAUCAGCUUCUUUGCCGUCUGCCAUGGCAGACGGCAAAGGCAUAGAUCCCGGACGGCAAACUCCUUUGCCGUCAGCCAGCGGACGGCAAACUGUCCGUCUGAACACGUGCCAGCAAAGGCCUUCUUUGCCGUCCGCUUCUUAG
RNAcentral lists this ribosomal RNA (435 nucleotides) under Triticum aestivum (bread wheat). RNAcentral describes it as "partial small subunit ribosomal RNA". The record is from RNAcentral. Lineage: Eukaryota; Viridiplantae; Streptophyta; Magnoliopsida; Poales; Poaceae.